Non-coding RNA from Omnitrophica WOR_2 bacterium GWF2_43_52, 89 nucleotides. NCBI's taxonomy places the organism in Bacteria, Pseudomonadati, Candidatus Omnitrophota. The record is from Rfam.
GGAGAGGUGCCAGAGAGGCCUAUUGGAGUUGCCUGCUAAGCAAUUGACCUGGGUAACCGGGUCCCAGGGUUCGAAUCCCUGCCUCUCCG